ACGCCCUAACGAAUGAUGCUAGAUGUUGGAUUUCGGUUCGGUGUCGCAGCUAACGCAGUAAGCAUCCCACCUGGGGAGUACGCGAGCAAACGGGAAACUCAAAGGAAUUGACGGGGGCCCGCACAAGUGGUGGAGUAUGUGGUUUAAUUCGAUGCAACGCGAAGAACCUUACCUAGGCUUGACAUGCUGGGUAAAGCGGAUGAAAGUCCGUGUCCGAAAGGGAUCCAGCACAGGUGCUGCAUGGCUGUAGUCAGCUCGUGUCGUGAGAUGUUGGGUUAAGUCCCGCUACGAGCGCAACCCCUAUUGUUAGUUGUUACCAAGUAAAGUUGAGCACUGUAGCAAGACUGCCUACGCAAGUAGGAGGAAGGAGGGCAUGACGUCAAGUCCUCAUGGCCCUUACGCAUAGGGCUACACACGUACUACAAUGGACGGUACAAUGGGCGAAGUCGCAAGACGAAGGUAAUCCCAAAAAACCGUUCUCAGUUCAGAUCGGAGUCUGCAACUCGA
This 507-nucleotide ribosomal RNA is filed under the name uncultured bacterium. RNAcentral's name for it is "bacterial SSU rRNA". It matches the Rfam family "Bacterial small subunit ribosomal RNA", at positions 797 to 1315 of the family's 1533-position model. The record is from RNAcentral.